GACGAACGCUGGCGGCGUGCUUAACACAUGCAAGUCGAACGGAAAGGCCCUGCUUUUGUGGGGUGCUCGAGUGGCGAACGGGUGAGUAACACGUGAGUAACCUGCCCUUGACUUUGGGAUAACUUCAGGAAACUGGGGCUAAUACCGGAUAGGAGCUCCUGCUGCAUGGUGGGGGUUGGAAAGUUUCGGCGGUUGGGGAUGGACUCGCGGCUUAUCAGCUUGUUGGUGGGGUAGUGGCUUACCAAGGCUUUGACGGGUAGCCGGCCUGAGAGGGUGACCGGGCACAUUGGGACUGCGAUACGGCCCAGACUCCUACGGGAGGCAGCAGUGGGGAAUAUUGCGCAAUGGGCGGAAGCCUGAGGCAGCAACGCCGCGUGCGGGAUGACGGCCUUCGGGUUGUAAACCGCUUUCGCCUGUGACGAAGCGUGAGUGACGGUAAUGGGUAAAGAAGCACCGGCUAACUACGUG
Molecule: ribosomal RNA, 468 nt
Filed under: uncultured bacterium
Lineage: Bacteria
Description: partial 16S ribosomal RNA
Rfam family: Bacterial small subunit ribosomal RNA
Source: RNAcentral